GGUAUCUUUCUUUGUUUUUUUCUUCUUAUACCUCCGUAGUUUAUUAUUUUUAGACUAAUAUGAUAAAAUAAUUAGAUUAUCAAUUAGUCUACGUAUUUAUACAUUAGACCCUAGCCGUAGCUAUUUUUUCUUCCGUAAAACAGCUUGGCCCUGAUUUUCCAAAUAGCCAUAACUUUUUACUCGUUUGUCCAAAUCCAACAAAACCAACGCCCACGUCUUCGUUACGAUCUCUUCUAUCCAGAUAAGCAACUUAAACAUGUUUUUGAAAAGUUUAAAAUUUAAAUUAGAUCAGAUUUGAAUUCAAACUUUGUUUGAUCAUAACUUGUGUUUCGUACCUCCGUUUGAGUUGAUUCUUUUUGCAAAUCGAAGCUCUUGACCUAAACAUUUUAAUAAGGCCAAAUUCACAUAAUUUUGGUACUGUUAGAAAUUGUUUUAUGUUGCAAGAGUUAUUUGCUUGGUUUUGAAGUUUUCCGAAUCGUCUUCUUCGUUCUUUCUGAUCUUUUGAGUGAUUGCUUAUGUGUGGUUACUAUUGUUUGCUUACGAUAGAUUGACCGGAGUGUGACGAGUAGAACUAUCAAGAGUUUUGAGUGCGAAUCAUCUUCAUCAACAUUGCAGGCAAGUUCACACUUUGAUCAUACCUUUUUCUACAACCCAGUUUUAUUGCAUUAGAUCAAUCCUUACACAUUGCAUGAUUAGGAUCUAAUUAAAUUGUGGGAUGGGAAGUAGUUGAUGAGGUAGGAACCUAUUGCCCUGCAUUCAGACCUUUGGGAGUUACUUCUACGUUUGCUUACUAUGCCAUGCUAUGCUAGUAGACGUGGAUUGGGUGAGUGAUAUCCAUGACAGAUGUGAGAUUGAUAAUUAAUGGUUUAUCUAAGGUGGCAACUUAAACACACAUCUGGGUGGAUUGAGGCACCUGGGGUUUCCAGGACUUGCCUGUUUUUCUUUGGACCGCCACCCAGGCUCAAAGGGAUAAUGAGAUUAUUCAUACUAGAAACUUCCAUGUGCAGCCACAAGCCAUUAUGGGCUCUGGCAUAGUUGACUAAGUUGUGCGAACUCUUAUAGUGGUAGACUAGCAGAUGUAUGGGAUGUAGGUGGUACGGUCUACCCGAUCGUAAGGUGCUAGCGCUUCUGAAAGACUAUGUCUCGGUCAUCCGUCUUCUCAAACACCCUGUUGUGCGAGAAACCAAACGGAGGUGAUCGAGUCUUGUGGGGAAAAGUGCGCAAACCUCUGCAGAGUGUAUAAACUAAUCAUGAUUAGCCGUGUCCCCGGUUAUGGACAUCUUGAGUAUCUAGUUCUUGGAUUAUCUUGUUGAUCUCAUCACAUUACUUUAAAUUAAGUUUGUUGGGUUUAAUGAUGUUACUUAAUUGGGAUUGAGAAUGCUGUCAACCAUUCUCAAUGUUCAACAACCACCAUGAUAGUUAAAUAAAAUUUAUUCCUUUGCAGUAGGGAAAAAUUGGCUUUACGCAAAAACCUUAUAACCAUAGAGCUUUUCCACCAGCCAAAUAUGCAUGUAGUGAUAGUCUUUAUUCAUCAUUCUCUAUGGUGUGAAUUUGCCAGUACAUUCAAUGUACUGACCCGUUUCGGGCUGCAACGUUUCAUGUUGCAGGUUUCUUACGACGAGUAAGUGAUACGUUAGGGUUACGAUUCUACACUCAACUUUGCCGUUGGUGUUGAUGGGAAUCCACAACCUUGUUGCUUCCGCUAUAUGGAUUGAGGUUAUAGUAUUUACGUUACUUUAUACAUGUGAUUUACCUCUGUUAUAAAUCCUUCGAGUACUGUGUGUGUCAGCAUACCGAUCCAGGGAUGACACUUAAGCAUAGAGACUUGAUCCAUUCGGGUCAGGUCGCUACAAGAUGGUAUCAGAGCACAUGUUGACUGUAGGACGUGACCCUAGAAACUGGCAAGCCCAUAGCAAAGAUUUUUCUCUACAACUUUCCCUUUCAAAAAGAUCUUUUACCUCUCUUCUCUUCUGAGCUUAUUCAAAAAUUCCCUUUAGUGAGACCAUACCCCUUUCCCCUUUUGACCACACGAAGAUUCGACUGAUGAGACCACCCUAAGAAGUACGAGAUAUCGGACAACUAAGGCCACUUCGGAAUGAAGAGUAUUUUCCGUGCAUCUGAAUAAUGGAAACUACAACGGUUGAAGGCCGAAGACAAGUAGAAUUUGAAGGCUCUGAAGAAUUCCCAGAUUUGUAUGACCUAGGAAGGCUACCCUUAUGGAACUUGGUAGACUAUGGAAGUUGUCAAUACCCGAGAUCAAGGUGUAUUGGAGAAAGACCAAAACAUGGAGAGUUGAGAACUCAAGGAUUUGUCAAGGAAAACCCUAAGGCAGGAGAUAUCAACUGUGGAGAGAUAGCUCAUGGAAAUGACAAGAGAACAACCACAGCUAUCCAUGAGGUUAUCACCCGCUUAUGCUAUUGUCACCGUGCUGAGUUAAGCAUGCAUAUGCAUGGAAGGAUUAAAUGGUAGAAGGCUGAUGGAGCACCUAUCAGCAAGAUGCAGUUUUAAACUUAGCUGGUGUAUCACCAAGAUCUGGAGUAGUACAUCAAGAAGUUUAAGGUGGAGCUCCACGAAGCCGUAUUAGACAAGGAAGCAUUUCAUGAAGAACUCAGGAACCAAAAGCUUAAAGUAGCCAAGCUGGAGGAGCUACAACCUCGAGAUACCGGAGAUUUGUCAGGAACUGAAGGACAGUAGGACCAUGGUUCAUGCGAAGGAUGUUGAAACCAGAAGUUUGGAACGCAACUCCAGAAUAUUAAAGGACGUCACGAGAGACUUCACGUCAUAAGAGUUGAUCUGGCAAAAGAACUUGAGAAGGACAAGCAUGAUUGGAAGAAGCCAUUGGAGGCUUGAACAAGGCUUGAAGAGUUUGGAGAUGUUGAAGAUUUAUUGGCCUUUAGAAAACCAAACCCCUAUUAUAUACCUACGUUAGAUGCGACAUUUGUGAGCUCUCAUUUGUUUGAUGCUUUUCCCGACAGCCACAAAUAAAAUCUGUCUUUUCAAAACUUUUGUUUGUAUUGUGUGUAUCCCUCUCUAUAUCUCUUAUCUCACCCCAAACCCAUGGACCCAAUAGAGGAUGAAUGGAGAUGAGCUUGUAUUUUCUGGACCGAUGAGUCAGUUGGAGACAGACCGAUGGAUUUAGAACAUGGAAGAUCACAUGUAGAAUAACCCUAUAGUUGGAAAUGAUAUGACCCAGCAUGCUCUUCUGUGCUUUGAAAGAGGUGCUGCUACUUGGUGGAGGAUGUACCAAACCAUGAAUGGAUGGCAAGGAGUAACCACUUGGAAAGAAUUUAAGUUGACUUUGCCAAAGUCUCGGUUUGUGUCCCAGAAGUUGAAGCCUUAUGGGAAGGAUAUGAAGAAACCUUGUGCAUGCAAGAUUUGUGGAGAAAUAGGACACAGCCAUAAAGAACAUAAGGAUGAAUGCCCGAAUUGUGAAGAAAGUCACCCAGUUGAAGAAUGCCCAAUUAGGCAGAUUACUUGUUUCUUGUGUGAAGAUACUAACCACUAUCCUGCUCAGUGUCACAUUUACCCCAUGGUACAACGAACCAUCCAGCAGAAGAAAGAAGCAAUGAAAGGAGCCCUUAUGGAAAGUUUAGAAGAACCUGUGAUGAAGGAAGCUGUGAUGGAGGACACACCCAAAGAAGAACCAAUUAAACCCUGCACCAAGUCUUGCUAUUCAUGUGGAGAAGAAGGACACAUCUCCCAGAAUUGUUUGAAUGUGGAUUUAGUAGAAUUCCCGACAGAGGAAGUAGAGUAUGACCCAUUGGAAAUAGAAGCUCUGAUGGGAAUGGAAAAGUCCAGAAAGAGAAGUAGAUUGGAUUCCAGGAAGGACCUGAGUCAUAUCACCUGUUACAGGUGCAAGGAGUCAGGGCACUACCUCAAUAGUUGCCCAAAAAGGAAACCUUGAUACUUGUUAGAAGUAAUAUGUUUUAGUGGUAAUGGAGCAGGGCACUUUGCCAGAGAAUGCCCCAAGGAGAAGGAAACUUGUGCUAGGUAGUUGAGUUUGCAACAAAAGUAAUGGAGUAGUAGAAGUGAGAACAUUUUCUUGAGGUGUUGAGUUGAGACAUGUAAUGGAAAAGCGAGAGAUUGUAAUUAAUUGAGAGUGAAUAAAGUUGCAUUGUUGGUACUGAUAUGGAUUUUAUGAGUUUUUACUCUAUGAAGAAGGAUUUUGACCAUUUUUGAGGAUAAGAGAAAUAUGGUCUAUGGAAGAUUUGUGCAUUUUAAGGGUGGUAGUACCCUGUAAAGAACCCUUGACUCUUGGAAAAGAUAAGGAUACUCCACUGAGUGGAUUUCGGACAAAAUGAAUAUGAGUUUUGUCUCGAUAUGUGCGAUACCCCAAGAGUGUGUGGGAUGAAGUUGGAGACGUCAGUUGUUUGGACCAAAUGUGAUCAAGGAGUCAGAAGAGAAUGUUAAGUUGAUUCGAGAUAGACUAAAGGUAGCUUAGUCCAGGCAGAAGAGUUAUGUAGACUCAAAAAAACUCAAGGAGGUAGUCUAUGAAAUUGGAGACCGAGCAUGCCUUCAUGUGUUCCCUCUGCGAGGAGUUAAACGAAUUGGAGUUAAGGUAAAGUUAGCCCCAAGAUUUGUAGGACCAUACCGAGUUUUGGAGCGUAUGAGAGAAGUGGCCUACAAGUUUGAGUUACCCGAAGGACUGUCAGGAGUUCAUGAUGUGUUUCACAUUUCCUAGUUGAAGAAGUGCCAUGCAGAGAUGGCCAAUAUUCCCCUGUAAGGACGCUUGACCGUGGAAAGGAUAAUGAUGUUCCACGAAGUAGAGUAUGGACUUCAUAAGUAUAAGUUUUUACCUCGGUAUGUGGGAUAUACCACGAGGAUGAAGAGAUGAAGUACUAUUGGAUAUAAAGGAGGUAUGAUGUUGGUAAUAUGGAGCAAUGGCAACCCCAUGACAAGUCUUAGUACUCACGUCUUGGUUGGGUGCCAAUAGAAGGAAGAAGACAAUACAAUUGGAUGGAUUCUAAGUAUGCUAGGAAGCUGGAAGUUGGAUGUUGGAAUAACGAUAAGUUGCCCGAUGAUAAGUUCAAGGACUACAAGUGAUGAGAUGUGCCAUAACCCACAGGCUCCAGGACCUGCCAAGAAGCAAACACAUUCUUGCUGAAGGAAAAACCCUGGAGGAAGAUACGACAUUUAUCGGCAGACGAUUUUAUAGGAGUAACGCAAAACCUAAGAGUUGUGAAGGAACGAUAGAUGUUUGUCUAGCUUGCAGAAUCUAUGGAUAUAUCCGAACUCCGUUCGUCGACAAGAGAAAUUCUGCAAUGCUCGUGAGGAUGACUGAGUGUUAGUAUGCGAGAUUCGCUAAACCGUAUACAAGGUAAUGAUUUGGGUGCGGGAUGGAUUGAUCACCAUACCGACUUACUCUUAUUGUUCGCCUUGAUAUAUGGGAUGGUAAAUCUGAGUGACUUACCUAUAGUAGAGAGACGACGAUCAAAACUCUGUUUAAACCUUAGAAUGGUAUAAGUAUUUUUUUCCCUUGUACAAGGCAGCUUUUGCCAACCGUAGGUUAUACGGUGAGGAUCAACCCAGACCCAUUUCCUGCAGGAGAAACCAUAAAUUGUUGACCACCAUGAGAUAUCGAUAGUUGUUUAGUUUUGGCGCCCGACCCAUCAGCUAAGAAGACCCAAUCUCGGAAUAACCUUACCAAGAGGAAAGGACAGAAGAAUUGAGGAAAAGGUUAUGCCACUACCGGAAGAGCCAGAGAAGGAAUUUUCCGAGGAUUUGAGAAGACUGACACUGUUAACAAUAUGGAUGAAGUAUAUGAGUUUCGAUGGAGCCGUAACGAUGUUUCUAAGGAUGGUAGCAUCCCAGACCCCGGAGACGAUUGAUGGAUUUUGAAGACCCCGAACCUAACCUAUUUCUUUCUAGCCUCUCCGAAUCUCGAGGACGAGAUUCAUUUUAAGGGUGGUAGGUUUGUAACAUCCCAAAAUUCUAAAUUUUGGAAUGUUAUAAUAAAUAGAUAGAUUUGAUUGAUUGUUUGAUUGAUUGACUGAAAGUGAGUGAAUUCGAAACUCUUUGAAAGUUAAAUGAGAGGGAAUAAAAGGACUUUCCCAAACUUUCAUAUUUGCUUUCUGAUCUCCAUGAAUUCAAAUUCUUUUCAAACACAAAACCCCGGAGAGAAGAUGACAUGACUUCUUCCAUUUAUUUAAAUGACAAGGGGUGUUGAAAAUAUUUGAAUUUCAUUUGAAAUAUUUCUGAUUCUGGAAUUUUAUGCAACUCAAUGAUUUUCAUGAGAGAAGAUAAAAUAACUUCUUCAAAUUAUAUGAAAUAUGAGUUGGGAGUUUCAAAGAAUUAAAUUCAAAGUUCUUUUGUAUUUAUUUUCAAUUUGGAGUUAUUUGAGUUUUAUUCAAAUUAUUUUUCUCCAAAAAUAAAAUAUAUGAAAAUUAGGGUAACAUGAUUCCCUACAUUUGAAAAUUGGAGAAAAAUUAAUUUGAAAUCAUUUUGGUAUUUUUAAAAUGAUCUUUGUUGGAUUUUAAUAGACCAGUAGCACUCUUUGAUUUAUCUGAAUUUGUGUGUAUUUUAUUUGGUGCUACAAAAAUGUUCACGUUGUAGGAAAUCUUUUUCUAAAUUUUUUGAUAUAUAAUAUGCCUAUAUAAAUAUUUUAUUUUUAUUUUCGUUUUUCAGUUUAUCGAAUUCUGUUUUUUUUAAAAAAAACUGCGCGCGUGCCGGAAGCUAACUGUCGCCCACGUGCGCAUCAAAGUACCAGCGGGCGCCCUAAUUUUUUUUUCUUUAUCCUAUAUGGGCCAGGCCCAGCCAGUCUUUUCAGUUUUUUUUUUCUUCUUAGGCCCAAUUUUCCCAAAAAAACUGCACGCGCACGCUGCGGCCGGCCGAAGGCCUUUAGGCCCAUCGCCUCUUUUCUUCUCUAUUUCGUAUAUUUUCGUCUACGUUUAGUCCCACAUUGCCUAGCCUUUGACCUCUAAACCUCUUUUCCACCAAUAAAUAUGGACCCAUAGAGCCUCCAAAAAUCAUCCGAUUCGGGCUAAAUCAAUAUUUUGGUUUGACUAGAUUCAUUUAAGAAAAAUAUAUUUCUACUCUCCGCCGCGACUUCUAGAAAUUUUCUCUUCUCUUCAAAGUCAUCUUUUGUCUACCUUAUAAAGGUAUCUUUCUUUGUUUUUUUUCUUCUUAUACCUCCAUAGUUUAUUAUUUUUAGACUAAUAUGAUAAAAUAAUUAGAUUAUCAAUUAGUCUACGUAUUUAUACAUUAGACCCUAGCCGUAGCUAUUUUUUCUUCCGUAAAACAGCUUGGCCCUGAUAUUUCAAAUAGCCAUAACUUUUUACUCGUUUGUCCAAAUCCAACAAAACCAAC
RNAcentral lists this long non-coding RNA (7305 nucleotides) under Triticum aestivum (bread wheat). Its description in RNAcentral is "long non-coding RNA (TAES_LNC005977)". The record is from RNAcentral. Lineage: Eukaryota; Viridiplantae; Streptophyta; Magnoliopsida; Poales; Poaceae.